UUUCCGUAGGUGAACCUGCGGAAGGAUCAUUAAUAAAUAUUAUUAUAUAUUCUUAUAUUUUAAACCCACACCUGUGUACCUUUCCAUGUUGCUUCCCCAUCGAUCAUCGAUCGGUGGGAAAGGUCUUCAUAAACUCUGUUUUAUUGUGGAUUCUGUCUGAUUAUGAUUAUUUCAAAAUAUUAAAACUUUCAACAACGGAUCUCUUGGUUCUC
This 212-nucleotide unclassified non-coding RNA is filed under the name soil metagenome. RNAcentral describes it as "partial contains small subunit ribosomal RNA, internal transcribed spacer 1, and 5.8S ribosomal RNA". The record is from RNAcentral.